RNAcentral lists this ribosomal RNA (506 nucleotides) under uncultured bacterium. RNAcentral describes it as "partial 16S ribosomal RNA". It matches the Rfam family "Bacterial small subunit ribosomal RNA", at positions 29 to 523 of the family's 1533-position model. The record is from RNAcentral.
AGUGAACGCUGGCGGUAGGCCUAACACAUGCAAGUCGAACGGCAGCACAGAGGAGCUUGCUCCUUGGGUGGCGAGUGGCGGACGGGUGAGGAAUACAUCGGAAUCUACUCUGUCGUGGGGGAUAACGUAGGGAAACUUACGCUAAUACCGCAUACGACCUACGGGUGAAAGCAGGGGAUCUUCGGACCUUGCGCGAUUGAAGGAGCCGAUGUCGGAUUAGCUAGUUGGCGGGGUAAAGGCCCACCAAGGCGACGAUCAGUAGCUGGUCUGAGAGGAAGAUCAGACACACUGGAACUGAGACACGGUCCAGACUCCUACGGGAGGCAGCAGUGGGGAAUAUUGGACAAUGGGCGCAAGCCUGAUCCAGCCAUACCGCGUGGGUGAAGAAGGCCUUCGGGUUGUAAAGCCCUUUUGUUGGGAAAGAAAUCCAUCUGGUUAAUACCCGGGUGGGAUGACGGUACCCAAAGAAUAAGCACCGGCUAACUUCGUGCCAGCCGCCGCAGUAA